GCCAAGGUGGCGGAAUAGGUAGACGCACGGGACUCAAAAUCCCGCGAUGCUUGCAUUGUGCCGGUUCGAUUCCGGCCCUUGGUACCA
This 87-nucleotide transfer RNA is filed under the name Candidatus Babeliales bacterium. RNAcentral's name for it is "tRNA-Leu". It matches the Rfam family "tRNA". Rfam says of the family: Transfer RNA (tRNA) molecules are approximately 80 nucleotides in length. Their secondary structure includes four short double-helical elements and three loops (D, anti-codon, and T loops). The record is from RNAcentral. Lineage: Bacteria; Candidatus Babeliae; Candidatus Babeliales.